AUGGAUCAUUCCUCAAGCUGUAAUAGACCCUUUGGUGAAGCUCUUCAAUCAAACCUGAGAAUUCAAGGAGAAUGGAAAAGGGAAAAUGUGAGUACAGAGAAAGUAGCACUGAUUUCCAUCACAAAAAAGAGAUUCUACAGAGCUCUGGAGGAAAGUCACACCACAGCACAGGCAGAUCCUGGGAAAUGCACUGAAUCUGUGGACUGCCUUGGUACUGUUGUAGGCCAAUGUGUCUUGCACCUCUGUGCUGGAAUUCUGUGGGACUCCUCUCCAAACCAAAGUUCCUCAAAAAAGUGUUGUUAA
Molecule: long non-coding RNA, 303 nt
Filed under: Sus scrofa (pig)
Lineage: Eukaryota; Metazoa; Chordata; Mammalia; Artiodactyla; Suidae
Description: lncRNA (ENSSSCG00070008721.1)
Source: RNAcentral